UCCAUUCGGAUCUGAGUGCCGGCGCAAAGGACUCGCAGCUCACUCCUCCCUUCAUUUCCCCACCGUUUCGUGAUAGUCCUUUAUGCAAUUUGAAUUUUUAGGGACAGUGUUGUCCCCUGGAGAGGCCGCGGGUGGAGGCUGGAGGCUGGGUACUCGGCCCCUUUAAAGAGGAGGGUUAAGCAGCGUAAGGGACUCGUCCCUGGAGAGGAAGCACUGUCCGUUGCUGAGGGCGUGGGUAGAGGACGAGAUGGAGUGAAUCCCAGCAUUUUCAAGGCAAGAAAGGACCCCGCAAAAUCGUUAUUUCUCUUGGAACAUCGAGAUGGAAAUCCAAAAGGAAGUUCAGGUCUCCGGCAUUUUCCUGCUUUCAAAACCGUCACAAAAGUGACCCCUCCGUCUCCAGAGGAAAGCAGCUUGAGGCAGCAUCUUCCUGAUCAAUAAGAAAAAGGAAUCUCAGCUCAUUGAAAUUUCUUCAAAGGGAGAGAAACUAUCAAUUUCGAAAAAUACCAGUACUGAGUUAUGGGGAGAUAUGAAAGAGAGAAAAAUCAGCAAGCAUUUCAGGAAAAAAAAAAAAAGCCUCAGAAGACAUUUCCUGAGACUUGAUAUUUGAGACUCAAAGAUUUCAAAAACAAACUUAAGGUUCCCGAAGGGGAAGUGUCAGCGAGGGAUCCGUUAGGAGGUUGGGACGACAGACACACGUUACUGUGUGUAAAUAGAUGAGUGACAGGGACGGGCUGUAGAGCAGCCUCCUCAGAGCCGUGCGAUAACCCAACGGGAAAAGAAUCUGAAAAGGGUGAAUAUUUGUAUAUGGAAACCUGAUGUACUUCGCUGCACACCUGAAACUAACACUCCUCUAUAGGUUAAGUGGUUAAGUACACACCAAGACAAUUUAAAAAAAAAAAAAAAAAAAAAAGAGUUGAUGUUUAAAAGACUGAAAACAGUGGAGCCUCCACCUCUAGGAUGGACUCCCUGGGCGGGGGUGGGCUCCCAGGUAAACCCAGAAGCACCAGCUUCUCCGACUCGCCCUUCUCUCUGGGCACCAGUAAAGCAGUGCUCGCACUUCCAGCUUACAAAGAAAACUUAAUGCCAGAAAGGAAGCCUAAUGUCAGUCUCUGCUCUUGCUGAGGAGGGUGACCGGCCCAAACGGGGCACCCAGAAGGAUUUGUCCCGUGGGGACACGUGACGCUAGCGGUGCUUGCCCUGACACAGGCAGGGUGGGCAGGUGGGCUCUAGGGAAGGGGCAGAAAGCAAGUGACAAGCCGUGUAGACCUUGUUUUCCAGCCGUGUGGGUACAGGGUGGACGCAGGAGGUGAAGAUGGCAAGAGUCCGGGAGUAAGGAUGGACUCUGAGCUGCGUUCCACCCCUGUGGGGGCGAGUUAUCCCGACUCCCCAUCAUCGGCCCGGCUGGCCCCACGCAGAGACCUUCCAGCAAGUGAGACGU
This 1438-nucleotide long non-coding RNA is filed under the name Sus scrofa (pig). RNAcentral's name for it is "lncRNA (ENSSSCG00025022714.1)". The record is from RNAcentral. Lineage: Eukaryota; Metazoa; Chordata; Mammalia; Artiodactyla; Suidae.